UGGGGAAUUUUGGACAAUGGGGGAAACCCUGAUCCAGCCAUCCCGCGUGUGCGAUGAAGGCCUUCGGGUUGUAAAGCACUUUUGGCAGGAAAGAAACGUCGCGGGUUAAUACCCCGCGAAACUGACGGUACCUGCAGAAUAAGCACCGGCUAACUACGUGCCAGCAGCCGCGGUAAUACGUAGGGUGCAAGCGUUAAUCGGAAUUACUGGGCGUAAAGCGUGCGCAGGCGGUUCGGAAAGAAAGAUGUGAAAUCCCAGAGCUUAACUUUGGAACUGCAUUUUUAACUACCGGGCUAGAGUGUGUCAGAGGGAGGUGGAAUUCUGCGUGUAGCAGUGAAAUGCGUAGAUAUGCGGAGGAACACCGAUGGCGAAGGCAGCCUCCUGGGAUAACACUGACGCUCAUGCACGAAAGCGUGGGGAGCAAAACAGGAUUAGAUACCCUGGUAGUCCACGCCCUAAAACGAUGUCAACUAGCUGUUGGGGCCUUCGGGCCUUGGUAGCGCAGCUAACGCGUGAAGUUGACCGCCUGGGGAGUACGGUCGCAAGAUUAAAACUCAAAGGAAUUGACGGGGUCAUAGCUGUUUCCUG
Molecule: ribosomal RNA, 588 nt
Filed under: uncultured bacterium
Lineage: Bacteria
Description: partial 16S ribosomal RNA
Rfam family: Bacterial small subunit ribosomal RNA
Source: RNAcentral